AAUCAAGUGCCUUAAGGGUGUUCGGUGGAUGCCUUGGCGCUGAGAGGCGAUGAAGGACGUGCUACGCUGCGAUAAGCCGUGGGGAGCUGCGAAGAAGCUUUGAUCCACGGAUUUCCGAAUGGGGAAACCCACCUUCGAUAGCUGGAACUCCAAGAUCUCGUAUCUUGGGGUUCAGACAGCAAUGUUUGAGACCAAGCCGUGAGGUUUUGGAUUUCCAGUUAUCAAGUGAAGGUAUGAAAUCUCUGAAUUCAUAGGAGGUUUUAAGCGAACCCAGGGAACUGAAACAUCUAAGUACCUGGAGGAAAGGACAUCAAUCGAGACUCCGUUAGUAGUGGCGAGCGAACGCGGACCAGGCCAGUGAUACAUCAAAGACAACCGGAACCUGUCAGGAAAGCAGGGC
Molecule: ribosomal RNA, 400 nt
Filed under: Bradyrhizobium sp. Ishi 7/11
Lineage: Bacteria; Pseudomonadati; Pseudomonadota; Alphaproteobacteria; Hyphomicrobiales; Nitrobacteraceae
Also listed under: 1 other name
Description: partial 23S ribosomal RNA
Rfam family: Bacterial large subunit ribosomal RNA
Source: RNAcentral